UUUUUUAUUUUCCCUCUUUCUCAUUAUUAAACCGCUAUCCAACCACGUUUCCCAACCUAAUUCUGGUGAUUAAAGGGAAAAUUGAACUUGACGACUUGUUCAAUCGCUAGAAGGAGUCAACUGCCGGUGAUCGGAGGGUUACCAUUGGUUCAAUCGCAACCUCAACCACCUUCAAUUUUAGACAGUAUGUGUAGGCGCCAACAGCUACGUAUCACUUCUACAGACAUUAGUAAAAUGCAAGAUUAUCAAUCAAAUUCUCAUGAUGCACAUGGAAAAGGAAAUGAGUAUUUGGAAGCUAGACUAGUGAGGAUUCAGGAGAACCAAAAAAGACUACGAGAAUUUGGAGUUAAAAACAUUGUGGACUCUAUGGAAGUCUGGUAGACAGUAACAAAAUGAAGAAAAAACAGUGAAGAACACUCAUGCGGGGGAUGUAGACUAUAUUCCAGAUCCAGGUGAUGAUUGUGAGGAAGAUAACCAACAAGUUGGUAGAAGUGUUAUAGUACCCAAAAAGCGACACCGUUCACAAUAUAUUCCACCAAUGUCCAUGAAUAGAGCUGCUAAUCUCACGAAACUACGCUGGGUGCUUGCUCCAAAUGUCUCUCAAAAGGUUCCAUCUACUUCAAAUGCAACAAAACCGAAUAAAGCAGGAGCAAAUAGAAGGAUGAUUCUUGUUGAUGAGGAUGACGACGAGGACGAGGAAAUAUUUCAAGGUAACACAGUGGAUAUGAAGUAAAUGACGCGUAUAAAGACAUAGACGAUACAAUAGACGAGAUACAAAUGGUAGAUCACAACUAUUCUGAAGAUGAACACAAUGAUCAAGAACAAUUGCACGGCCCUGAAAAAGAUAAAGCAACAGAUGCUCCCAAAAAGGUUAGAGGUCAUACCCAAAAGGCCGAAAUAUGGAAAAUGAAUACUACCGAAAGAAUAGCCGUCACAUUUAACGACUUUGGACAACUAGUGGGGGAAGAAGGCAAAGAACUUGCUUAGUAUCUUGGGACACUUGUGAGGAUGGCUGAUCAUGUAUCAAUUGAGUAUUCUGACCGGAGAAAAAGUUCCCAUGAAAAAUAAAGAGGAUAUGUAUUCACUUGUUAAGUCCAAAUUUGCUAUUCAUCCAGAUGAAACAGGUCAGGUUAAAGAAUGGAUAUUCCAAAACAUGGGGAAAAAUGGAGAACGUGGAAAGGUUUAUUAAAGUCACGUGGAUAUGAUCCCAGCCUUACUAGUGACGAAAUUGUGACGCAACAAACUAAUAAUGACGAUAGAGUGAAUCCAACUCAAUUUAAAGAACUUGUUACUCGUUGGUUCACUCCGAAAUUUCAGACUACAUGCGCUGCAAAAAGAUUGAGCUGCUCAAAGAUGGAGCCUCAUGUAACCGGGACAAAGUCGUUUGCUAGACUUGCUCAUGAAGUGGCAACGAAGAAUGCUGGUGUAUACCCGACCCGAGGAGAAAUGUGUAUAAUAACAACUCACACUCAUAAGACCAAAGUUUUGUUGAUGAUAAAGCAGCUAACGUUGUGGCUUCACUAAAAGCUAUUGCAAGUGACUCUGCAAGCAAACCCAUAGAUUCGCAUGAUUUUACAAAUGAUGAAUACUCAAAAGUUAAAGGCCCAAAGAAAAGAGGGUAUGUUCGAUUAGUUGGAAGAAUGCCAGCCAUAAAGAGUAACGGUGAUUCUUCGACUAAUUCACAUACUAUUCAUCAGCUACAGAGUGUUGUGAACGUUAUGAUGAACAUUAUCCAAGAACGUAUCCCCGAUGCAAACUUGCCUACAGUUCUUAGCAAUAUGAACAUACAGGUCCCUCGCGUUGGUUCUUCGGCUCCUAGCAACUCGUUACCUAGCAACGAAUUAUGAUCUUCAAGAAGUGACGAUAUUGAUGACACAGCUGACAACAUGUGAAGCCUUGGAGGAAUAGAGAUAACAAGAUUAAUGAGCUUGGAACUAAGUUUUUUUAAAGUAUGAUUGUAUCGAAAGACCGUUUUGACUUCUUUUGUAGACAUUCAUUUGUUUGCUAAGAUUUAUAGUAUGUUUUGGAUCCAACUUUUAGUUGAAAUUAUGACAUUAUUAUUUUUCU
Molecule: long non-coding RNA, 2067 nt
Filed under: Helianthus annuus (common sunflower)
Lineage: Eukaryota; Viridiplantae; Streptophyta; Magnoliopsida; Asterales; Asteraceae
Source: RNAcentral